GUCUUGGUCUAAGACAUGAGUCAGUUUCUCGAAAUCCAGAAUAAUUCUGUAGUUCCUCAACCAGUCUUUGAAAUUGGAUCCAGUCAAUCUGUGGGUGUCUAGUAUUUUGGUCAGGGGGUUGGAUGCAGACAUGUUUUCUGUAGAGAGUCAAAAGUUUCUAGUUAGAUUUUGUAAUCAGACUUAACCAAUUUGUUUAGAAGUUUUAUUUUUAAACAAAUUAGGCUCCCACUAUUUUCUCAGAUCCCUACACUCCCUAGGUAGAGAUGUAAAAAUCUCUGUGAUUAGUGAUUUUUAAUGGGUGGUGCAGUCUCACCGACUGGCUCAUCACCUCACCUAACAGUUAUUGGUGAUGGGUCAAUCGAUGAGUGGACAACUCUUGUCCAAUGAUUCUCUAAUCAUAGUGCACCCAAAACUU
RNAcentral lists this long non-coding RNA (415 nucleotides) under Elaeis guineensis (African oil palm). Its description in RNAcentral is "long non-coding RNA (EGUI_LNC061935)". Lineage: Eukaryota; Viridiplantae; Streptophyta; Magnoliopsida; Arecales; Arecaceae. The record is from RNAcentral.